RNAcentral lists this ribosomal RNA (254 nucleotides) under uncultured bacterium. RNAcentral's name for it is "partial small subunit ribosomal RNA". It matches the Rfam family "Bacterial small subunit ribosomal RNA", at positions 26 to 285 of the family's 1533-position model. The record is from RNAcentral.
AGGACGAACGCUGGCGGCGUGCUUAACACAUGCAAGUCGAGCGGAAAGGCCCUUCGGGGUACUCGAGCGGCGAACGGGUGAGUAACACGUGGGCAACCUGCCCCUAGCUCUGGGAUAACUCCGGGAAACCGGUGCUAAUACCGGAUACGACCUCAUUAGGCAUCCUUUGAGGUGGAAAGAUUUAUCGGCUAGGGAUGGGCCCGCGGCCUAUCAGCUUGUUGGUGGGGUAACGCCUACCAAGGCGACGACGGGUA